RNAcentral lists this ribosomal RNA (497 nucleotides) under uncultured bacterium. RNAcentral describes it as "partial 16S ribosomal RNA". It matches the Rfam family "Bacterial small subunit ribosomal RNA", at positions 28 to 507 of the family's 1533-position model. The record is from RNAcentral.
GAUGAACGCUGGCGGCGUGCCUAAUACAUGCAAGUCGAGCGAACAGACGAGGAGCUUGCUCCUCUGACGUUAGCGGCGGACGGGUGAGUAACACGUGGAUAACCUACCUAUAAGACUGGGAUAACUUCGGGAAACCGGAGCUAAUACCGGAUAAUAUAUUGAACCGCAUGGUUCAAUAGUGAAAGACGGUUUUGCUGUCACUUAUAGAUGGAUCCGCGCCGCAUUAGCUAGUUGGUAAGGUAACGGCUUACCAAGGCAACGAUGCGUAGCCGACCUGAGAGGGUGAUCGGCCACACUGGAACUGAGACACGGUCCAGACUCCUACGGGAGGCAGCAGUAGGGAAUCUUCCGCAAUGGGCGAAAGCCUGACGGAGCAACGCCGCGUGAGUGAUGAAGGUCUUCGGAUCGUAAAACUCUGUUAUUAGGGAAGAACAAAUGUGUAAGUAACUAUGCACGCCUUGACGGUACCUAAUCAGAAAGCCACGGCUAACUACGCG